GACGAACGCUGGCGGCGUGCUUAACACAUGCAAGUCGAACGGAAAGGCCCUGCUUUUGUGGGGUGCUCGAGUGGCGAACGGGUGAGUAACACGUGAGUAACCUGCCCUUGACUUUGGGAUAACUUCAGGAAACUGGGGCUAAUACCGGAUAGGAGCUCCUGCUGCAUGGUGGGGGUUGGAAAGUUUCGGCGGUUGGGGAUGGACUCGCGGCUUAUCAGCUUGUUGGUGGGGUAGUGGCUUACCAAGGCUUUGACGGGUAGCCGGCCUGAGAGGGUGACCGGCCACAUUGGGACUGAGAUACGGCCCAGACUCCUACGGGAGGCAGCAGUGGGGAAUAUUGCACAAUGGGCGGAAGCCUGAUGCAGCAACGCCGCGUGCGGGAUGACGGCCUUCGGGUUGUAAACCGCUUUCGCCUGUGACGAAGCGUGAGUGACGGUAAUGGGUAAAGAAGCACCGGCUAACUACGUGCCAGCAGCCGCGGUGAUACGUAGGGUGCGAGCGUUGUCCGGAUUUAUUGGGCGUAAAGGGCUCGUAGGUGGUUGAUCGCGUCGGAAGUGUAAUCUUGGGGCUUAACCCUGAGCGUGCUUUCGAUACGGGUUGACUUGAGGAAGGUAGGGGAGAAUGGAAUUCCUGGUGGAGCGGUGGAAUGCGCAGAUAUCAGGAGGAACACCAGUGGCGAAGGCGGUUCUCUGGGCCUUUCCUGACGCUGAGGAGCGAAAGCGUGGGGAGCGAACAGGCUUAGAUACCCUGGUAGUCCACGCUGUAAACGGUGGGUACUAGGUGUGGGGUCCAUUCCACGGGUUCCGUGCCGUAGCUAACGCUUUAAGUACCCCGCCUGGGGAGUACGGCCGCAAGGCUAAAACUCAAAGGAAUUGACGGGGCCCCGCACAAGCGGCGGAGCAUGCGGAUUAAUUCGAUGCAACGCGUAGAACCUUACCUGGGUUUGACAUGGAUCGGGAGUGCUCAGAGAUGGGUGUGCCUCUUUUGGGGUCGGUUCACAGGUGGUGCAUGCCUGUCGUCAGCUCGUGUCGUGAGAUGUUGGGUUAAGUCCCGCAACGAGCGCAAUCCUUGUUCACUGUUGCCAGCACGUUAUGGUGGGGACUCAAUGGAGACCGCCGGGGUCAACUCGGAGGAAGGUGGGGAUGACGUCAAGUCAUCAUGCCCCUUAUGUCCAGGGCUUCACGCAUGCUACAAUGGCUGGUACAGAGAGUGGCGAGCCUGUGAGGGUGAGCGAAUCUCGGAAAGCCGGUCUCAGUUCGGAUUGGGGUCUGCAACUCGACCUCAUGAAGUCGGAGUCGCUAGUAAUCGCAGAUCAGCAACGCUGCGGUGAAUACGUUCCCGGG
This 1343-nucleotide ribosomal RNA is filed under the name uncultured bacterium. RNAcentral's name for it is "16S ribosomal RNA". It matches the Rfam family "Bacterial small subunit ribosomal RNA", at positions 28 to 1378 of the family's 1533-position model. The record is from RNAcentral.